CCUACGGGGGGCAGCAGUGGGGAAUAUUGCGCAAUGGGCGAAAGCCUGACGCAGCAACGCCGCGUGAGGGAUGAAGGUCUUCGGAUCGUAAACCUCUGUCAGCAGGGAAGAACGGUCACUGUGCUAAUCAGCAGUGAAUUGACGGUACCUGCAAAGGAAGCACCGGCUAACUCCGUGCCAGCAGCCGCGGUAAUACGGAGGGUGCGAGCGUUAAUCGGAAUUACUGGGCGUAAAGCGCUCGUAGGCGGUAUGUCAAGUCAAGGGUGAAAUCCCCGCGCUCAACGUGGGAACUGCCUUUGAAACUGGCAAACUGGAGUGUGUGAGAGGAGAGUGGAAUUCCAGGUGUAGGAGUGAAAGCCGUAGAUAUCUGGAGGAACAUCAGUGGCGAAGGCGACUAUCUGGCACAUAACUGACGCUGAGGAGCGAAAGCGUGGGUAGCAAACAGGAUUAGAUACCCUAGUAGUC
RNAcentral lists this ribosomal RNA (465 nucleotides) under uncultured bacterium. RNAcentral's name for it is "partial 16S ribosomal RNA". It matches the Rfam family "Bacterial small subunit ribosomal RNA", at positions 338 to 795 of the family's 1533-position model. The record is from RNAcentral.